UACGGAGGAUGCGAGCGUUAUCCGGAUUUAUUGGGUUUAAAGGGUGCGUAGGCUGUCGGAUAAGUUAGAGGUCAAAUGUCGGGGCUUAACCCCGUGCCUGCCUCUGAUACUGUUCGACUGGAGAGCGGAUGCAGCAGGCGGAAUGAGUAGUGUAGCGGUGAAAUGCGUAGAUAUCAGGAGGAACACCGGCGGCGAAGGCGGCUUACUGGACUGUAACUGACGUUGAGGCUCGAAGGCGUGGGGAGCAAACAGG
Molecule: ribosomal RNA, 253 nt
Filed under: uncultured bacterium
Lineage: Bacteria
Description: partial 16S ribosomal RNA
Rfam family: Bacterial small subunit ribosomal RNA
Source: RNAcentral